This 484-nucleotide ribosomal RNA is filed under the name uncultured bacterium. RNAcentral describes it as "partial 16S ribosomal RNA". It matches the Rfam family "Bacterial small subunit ribosomal RNA", at positions 28 to 507 of the family's 1533-position model. The record is from RNAcentral.
AUUGAACGCUGGCGGCAUGCUUUACACAUGCAAGUCGAACGGCAGCGCGGGCUUCGGCCUGGCGGCGCGUGGCGCACGGGUGAGUAAUACAUCUGAACAUGCUCAGUAGUGGGGGAUAGCCCGUCGAAAGCCGUAUUACUACUACAUACGACCUGAGGGUGAAAGCGGGGGACCGAAAGGCCUCUCGCUCUUGGGGCGGCGGAUGUGGGAUUAGCUAGUUGGUGGGGUAAAGGCUUGCUUAGGCGACGAUCCGUGGCUGGUCGGAGAGGGCGACUAGCCACAUUGGGACUGAGACACGGCCCAGACGCCUACGGGAGGCAGCAGUGGGGAAUUGUGGACAAUGGGGGCAACCCUGAUCCAGCGAUGCCGCGUGCGGGAAGAAGGCCUUCGGGGUGUAAACCGCUUUUGUUCGGGAAGAAAUCCUCUGGGCUAAUACCCCGGGGGGAUGACGGUACCGGAAGAAUAAGCACCGGCUAACUACGUG